GUUUCUACCGUUAAUAUUUUCGUUAAAAGUUCUGUCCUAAAAUCAAGAUUACAAGCAAAUGUACAAGAAAUAAAAGAGUGAGUAGCACAUGUAUCGAUCAAAGCCUUGACAGAAAUAUCAUGAAUAGAAAGCAUACCCUAGAUAAAAACAGGAGUGGAGAGAGCACCAGGUUCAUCUAGGUGGUACACACGACCUUGGGCUACAGGCUUGGCUAAGUCCUUUAGUCGUUGGGGGCAGUCUUU
This 242-nucleotide long non-coding RNA is filed under the name Carica papaya (papaya). RNAcentral's name for it is "long non-coding RNA (CPAP_LNC005592)". Lineage: Eukaryota; Viridiplantae; Streptophyta; Magnoliopsida; Brassicales; Caricaceae. The record is from RNAcentral.